GAGCCAUUAGCUCAGUUGGUAGAGCAUCAGACUUUUAAUCAGAGGGUCAGAGGUUCGAAUCCUCUAUGGCUCA
RNAcentral lists this transfer RNA (73 nucleotides) under Staphylococcus pseudintermedius. RNAcentral describes it as "tRNA-Lys". It matches the Rfam family "tRNA". Rfam says of the family: Transfer RNA (tRNA) molecules are approximately 80 nucleotides in length. Their secondary structure includes four short double-helical elements and three loops (D, anti-codon, and T loops). The record is from RNAcentral. Lineage: Bacteria; Bacillati; Bacillota; Bacilli; Caryophanales; Staphylococcaceae.